RNAcentral lists this ribosomal RNA (500 nucleotides) under uncultured bacterium. RNAcentral describes it as "partial 16S ribosomal RNA". It matches the Rfam family "Bacterial small subunit ribosomal RNA", at positions 30 to 523 of the family's 1533-position model. The record is from RNAcentral.
AUUGAACGCUGGCGGCAUGCCUUACACAUGCAAGUCGAACGGCAGCGGGGACUUCGGUCCGCCGGCGAGUGGCGAACGGGUGAGUAAUGUAUCGGAACGUACCAUUGAGUGGGGGAUAACGUAGCGAAAGUUACGCUAAUACCGCAUAUUCUCUACGGAGGAAAGCAGGGGACCGCAAGGGCGUGCGAUCUUUGAGCGGCCGAUAUCAGAUUAGCUAGUUGGGGAGUUAAAGGCUCACCAAGGCGACGAUCUGUAGCGGGUCUGAGAGGAUGAUCCGCCACACUGGAACUGAGACACGGUCCAGACUCCUACGGGAGGCAGCAGUGGGGAAUUUUGGACAAUGGGGGCAACCCUGAUCCAGCCAUGCCGCGUGAGUGAAGAAGGCCUUCGGGUUGUAAAGCUCUUUCGGCCGGGAAAAAAUCGCAUGGGCUAAUACCCUGUGUGGAUGAUGGUACCGGAAUAAGAAGCACCGGCUAACUACGUGCCAGCCGCCGCCGUAA